Molecule: ribosomal RNA, 459 nt
Filed under: uncultured Sphingobacteriales bacterium
Lineage: Bacteria; Pseudomonadati; Bacteroidota; Sphingobacteriia; Sphingobacteriales
Description: bacterial SSU rRNA
Rfam family: Bacterial small subunit ribosomal RNA
Source: RNAcentral
GCACAAGCGGAGGAGCAUGUGGUUUAAUUCGAUGAUACGCGAGGAACCUUACCUGGGCUCGAACGUAAGAUGACUGUAGGUGAAAGCUUACAUCUCUUCGGAGCAUUUUACGAGGUGCUGCAUGGUUGUCGUCAGCUCGUGCCGUGAGGUGUCGGGUUAAGUCCCAUAACGAGCGCAACCCCUACCUUUAGUUGCCAUCAGGUUAAGCUGGGGACUCUAAAGGAACUGCCUACGCAAGUAGUGAGGAAGGCGGGGAUGACGUCAAAUCAGCACGGCCCUUACGUCCAGGGCUACACACGUGCUACAAUGGCCGAUACAGAGGGCAGCUACCUGGUGACAGGAUGCAAAUCUCCAAAGUCGGUCUCAGUUCGGAUCGGAGUCUGCAACCCGACUCCGUGAAGUUGGAUUCGCUAGUAAUCGCGCAUCAGCCAUGGCGCGGUGAAUACGUUCCCGGGCCUU